CGAGUGGCGAACGGGUGAGUAAUACAUCGGAACAUGUCCUGUAGUGGGGGAUAGCCCGGCGAAAGCCGGAUUAAUACCGCAUACGAUCUACGGAUGAAAGCGGGGGACCUUCGGGCCUCGCGCUAUAGGGUUGGCCGAUGGCUGAUUAGCUAGUUGGUGGGGUAAAGGCCUACCAAGGCGACGAUCAGUAGCUGGUCUGAGAGGACGACCAGCCACACUGGGACUGAGACACGGCCCAGACUCCUACGGGAGGCAGCAGUGGGGAAUUUUGGACAAUGGGCGAAAGCCUGAUCCAGCGAUGCCGCGUGUGUGAAGAAGGCCUUCGGGUUGUAAAGCACUUUUGUCCGGAAAGAAAUCCUUGGUUCUAAUAUAGCCGGGGGAUGACGGUACCGGAAGAAUAAGCACCGGCUAACUACGUGCCAGCAGCCGCGGUAAUACGUAGGGUGCGAGCGUUAAUCGGAAUUACUGGGCGUAAAGCGUGCGCAGGCGGUUCGCUAAGACCGAUGUGAAAUCCCCGGGCUCAACCUGGGAACUGCAUUGGUGACUGGCAGGCUAGAGUAUGGCAGAGGGGGGUAGAAUUCCACGUGUAGCAGUGAAAUGCGUAGAGAUGUGGAGGA
RNAcentral lists this ribosomal RNA (617 nucleotides) under uncultured beta proteobacterium. RNAcentral describes it as "bacterial SSU rRNA". It matches the Rfam family "Bacterial small subunit ribosomal RNA", at positions 92 to 705 of the family's 1533-position model. Lineage: Bacteria; Pseudomonadati; Pseudomonadota; Betaproteobacteria. The record is from RNAcentral.